Molecule: Y RNA, 100 nt
Organism: Callithrix jacchus (white-tufted-ear marmoset)
Lineage: Eukaryota; Metazoa; Chordata; Mammalia; Primates; Cebidae
Rfam family: Y RNA
About the family: Y RNAs are components of the Ro ribonucleoprotein particle (Ro RNP), in association with Ro60 and La proteins.
Source: Ensembl
AGCUGCUCUGAGUGCAGUGUAUUACAACUACUUGAUCACAACCAGUUACAGAUUUCUUUGUUCCUUCUCCACUCCCACUGCUUCACUUGAGUAGCCUUUU